Molecule: ribosomal RNA, 491 nt
Filed under: uncultured bacterium
Lineage: Bacteria
Description: partial 16S ribosomal RNA
Rfam family: Bacterial small subunit ribosomal RNA
Source: RNAcentral
GUUAACGCUGGCGGUAGGCCUAACACAUGCAAGUCGAACGGCAGCACAGUAAGAGCUUGCUCUUACGGGUGGCGAGUGGCGGACGGGUGAGGAAUACAUCGGAAUCUACUUUUUCGUGGGGGAUAACGUAGGGAAACUUACGCUAAUACCGCAUACGACCUACGGGUGAAAGCAGGGGAUCUUCGGACCUUGCGCGAUUGAAUGAGCCGAUGUCGGAUUAGCUAGUUGGCGGGGUAAAGGCCCACCAAUGCGACGAUCCGUAGCUGGUCUGAGCGGAUGAUCAGCCACACUGGAACUGAGGCACGGUCCAGAAUCCUACGGGAGGGAGGAGUGGGGAAUAUUGGACAAUGGGCGGAAGCCUGAUCCAGCCAUACCGCGUGGGUGAAGAAGGCCUUCGGGUUGUAAAGCCCUUUUGUUGGGAAAGAAAAGCAGCAGGUUAAUACCCCGCUGUUCUGACGGUACCCAAAGAAUAAGCACCGGCUAACUUCGUG